Molecule: ribosomal RNA, 504 nt
Filed under: uncultured bacterium
Lineage: Bacteria
Description: partial 16S ribosomal RNA
Rfam family: Bacterial small subunit ribosomal RNA
Source: RNAcentral
AUUGAACGCUGGCGGCAUGCCUUACACAUGCAAGUCGAACGGCAGCAUGGAGAGCUUGCUCUCUGAUGGCGAGUGGCGAACGGGUGAGUAAUGCAUCGGAACGUACCGUGUAAUGGGGGAUAACGUAGCGAAAGUUACGCUAAUACCGCAUACGACCUGAGGGUGAAAGCAGGGGAUCGCAAGACCUUGCGUUAUACGAGCGGCCGAUGUCAGAUUAGCUAGUUGGUGAGGUAAAGGCUCACCAAGGCGACGAUCUGUAGCGGGCCUGAGAGGAUGAGCCGCCACACGGGGACUGAGACACGGCCCAGACUCCUACGGGAGGCAGCAGUGGGGAAUUUUGGACAAUGGGGGCAACCUUGAUCCAGCCAGGCCGCGUGAGUGAAGAAGGCCUUCGGGUUGUAAAGCUCUUUCGGCCGGGAAGAAAUCGCACAGGCUAAUACUCUGUGUGGAUGACGGUACCGGCAUAAGAAGCACCGGCUAACUACGUGCCAGCCGCCGCCGUAA